RNAcentral lists this ribosomal RNA (1364 nucleotides) under Geobacillus sp. 1P03TB. Its description in RNAcentral is "bacterial SSU rRNA". It matches the Rfam family "Bacterial small subunit ribosomal RNA", at positions 136 to 1478 of the family's 1533-position model. Lineage: Bacteria; Bacillati; Bacillota; Bacilli; Caryophanales; Anoxybacillaceae. The record is from RNAcentral.
GACCGGGAUAACUCCGGGAAACCGGAGCUAAUACCGGAUAACACCGAAGACUCGCAUGGUCUUCGGUUGAAAGACGGCCUUUGGGCUGUCACUUGCGGAUGGGCCCGCGGCGCAUUAGCUAGUUGGUGAGGUAACGGCUCACCAAGGCGACGAUGCGUAGCCGGCCUGAGAGGGUGACCGGCCACACUGGGACUGAGACACGGCCCAGACUCCUACGGGAGGCAGCAGUAGGGAAUCUUCCGCAAUGGGCGAAAGCCUGACGGAGCGACGCCGCGUGAGCGAAGAAGGCCUUCGGGUCGUAAAGCUCUGUUGUGAGGGACGAAGGAGCGCCGUUCGAAGAGGGCGGCGCGGUGACGGUACCUCACGAGAAAGCCCCGGCUAACUACGUGCCAGCAGCCGCGGUAAUACGUAGGGGGCGAGCGUUGUCCGGAAUUAUUGGGCGUAAAGCGCGCGCAGGCGGUCUCUUAAGUUUGAUGUGAAAGCCCACGGCUCAACCGUGGAGGGUCAUUGGAAACUGGGGGACUUGAGGGCAGGAGAGGAGAGCGGAAUUCCACGUGUAGCGGUGAAAUGCGUAGAGAUGUGGAGGAACACCAGUGGCGAAGGCGGCUCUCUGGCCUGCACCUGACGCUGAGGCGCGAAAGCGUGGGGAGCAAACAGGAUUAGAUACCCUGGUAGUCCACGCCGUAAACGAUGAGUNCUAAGUGUUAGAGGGGUCACACCCUUUAGUGCUGCAGCUAACGCGAUAAGCACUNCGCCUGGGGAGUAGGGCGGCAAGGCUGAAACUCAAAGGAAUAGACGGGGGCCCGCACAAGCGCUGGAGCAUGUGGUUUAAUUCGAAGCAACGCGAAGAACCUUACCAGGUCUUGAUAUCCCCUGUCAACCCAAGAGAUAGGGCGUUCCCCCUUCGGGGGGACAGGGUGACAGGUGGUGCAUGGUGGUCGUCAGCUCGUGUCGUGAGAUGUUGGGUUAAGUCCCGCAACGAGCGCAACCCUCGCCUUUAGUUGCCAGCAUUCAGUUGGGCACUCUAGAGGGACUGCCGGCGACAAGUCGGAGGAAGGUGGGGAUGACGUCAAAUCAUCAUGCCCCUUAUGACCUGGGCUACACACGUGCUACAAUGGGCGGUACAAAGGGGUGCGAACCCGCGAGGGGGAGCGAAUCCCAAAAAGCCGCUCUCAUUUUGGAUUGCAGGCUGCAAAUCUCCUGCAUGAAGCCGGAAUCGCUAGUAAUCUCGGAUCAGCACGCCGCGGUGAAUACGUUCCCGGGCCUUGUAGCACACCGCCCGUCACACCACGAGAGCUUGCAACACCCGAAGUCGGUGAGUAACCCGCAAGGGAGCCAGCCGCCGAAGGUGGGCAAGUGAUGGG